CAGUCGCCGCGGUAAUACGGAGGGAGCUAGCGUUGUUCGGAAUUACUGGGCGUAAAGCGCACGUAGGCGGUUAUUCAAGUCAGAGGUGAAAGCCCGGGGCUCAACCCCGGAACUGCCUUUGAAACUAGAUGACUGGAAUCUUGGAGAGGUCAGUGGAAUUCCGAGUGUAGAGGUGAAAUUCGUAGAUAUUCGGAAGAACACCAGUGGCGAAGGCGACUGACUGGACAAGUAUUGACGCUGAGGUGCGAAAGCGUGGGGAGCAAACAGGAUUAGAUACCCGCGUAGUCCCUGUCUCUUAUAC
RNAcentral lists this ribosomal RNA (301 nucleotides) under uncultured bacterium. RNAcentral describes it as "partial 16S ribosomal RNA". It matches the Rfam family "Bacterial small subunit ribosomal RNA", at positions 509 to 807 of the family's 1533-position model. The record is from RNAcentral.